AUUGAACGCUGGCGGCAUGCCUUACACAUGCAAGUCGAACGGCAGCACGGGAGCAAUCCUGGUGGCGAGUGGCGAACGGGUGAGUAAUAUAUCGGAACGUGCCCAGUCGUGGGGAUAACGUAGCGAAAGCUACGCUAAUACCGCAUACGACCUAUGGAUGAAAGCGGGGGAUCGCAAGACCUCGCGCGAUUGGAGCGGCCGAUAUCAGAUUAGGUAGUUGGUGAGGUAAAGGCUCACCAAGCCGACGAUCUGUAGCUGGUCUGAGAGGACGACCAGCCACACUGGGACUGAGACACGGCCCAGACUCCUACGGGAGGCAGCAGUGGGGAAUUUUUGGGACAAUGGGCGGCAAGCCUGAUCCAGCAAUGCCGCGUGCAGGAUGAAGGCCUCGGUU
This 394-nucleotide ribosomal RNA is filed under the name uncultured bacterium. RNAcentral describes it as "bacterial SSU rRNA". It matches the Rfam family "Bacterial small subunit ribosomal RNA", at positions 30 to 424 of the family's 1533-position model. The record is from RNAcentral.